Molecule: ribosomal RNA, 253 nt
Filed under: uncultured bacterium
Lineage: Bacteria
Also listed under: 1 other name
Description: partial 16S ribosomal RNA
Rfam family: Bacterial small subunit ribosomal RNA
Source: RNAcentral
UACGGGAGAGGCAAGCGUUGUUCGGAAUCACUGGGCUUAAAGCGCGUGUAGGCGGCUCGGUAAGUACUUUGUGAAAUCUCCCCUCUCAAUGGGGAAAUUGCUUGGUAUACUGCCGAGCUUGAGGUAGGUAGGGGUGCCUGGAACUCUAGGUGGAGCGGUGAAAUGCGUAGAUAUCUAGAGGAACGCCCGUGGCGAAAGCGGGGCACUGGGCCUGUCCUGACGCUGAGACGCGAAAGCGUGGGUAGCAAACGGG